GUUUCUGUAGUUGAAUAACAACGAUGGUUUUUCAUAUCAUUAGUUUUGGUUAAAGUCCAGGUGGAAAUA
RNAcentral lists this transfer RNA (69 nucleotides) under Haemodracon trachyrhinus. RNAcentral describes it as "tRNA-Glu". It matches the Rfam family "tRNA". From Rfam's summary of the family: Transfer RNA (tRNA) molecules are approximately 80 nucleotides in length. Their secondary structure includes four short double-helical elements and three loops (D, anti-codon, and T loops). The record is from RNAcentral. Lineage: Eukaryota; Metazoa; Chordata; Lepidosauria; Squamata; Phyllodactylidae.